Molecule: ribosomal RNA, 301 nt
Filed under: uncultured bacterium
Lineage: Bacteria
Description: partial 16S ribosomal RNA
Rfam family: Bacterial small subunit ribosomal RNA
Source: RNAcentral
CAGCAGCCGCGGUAAUACGUAGGGUGCGAGCGUUAAUCGGAAUUACUGGGCGUAAAGCGUGCGCAGGCGGUUGUGUAAGACAGGUGUGAAAUCCCCGGGCUUAACCUGGGAAUGGCGCUUGUGACUGCAAAGCUAGAGUGCGGCAGAGGGGGAUGGAAUUCCGCGUGUAGCAGUGAAAUGCGUAGAUAUGCGGAGGAACACCGGUGGCGAAGGCAAUCCCCUGGGCCUGCACUGACGCUCAUGCGCGAAAGCGUGGGGAGCAAACAGGAUUAGAUACCCCCGUAGUCCCUGUCUCUUAUAC